AGAGUUUGAUCCUGGCUCAGGACGAACGCUGGCGGCGUGCUUAACACAUGCAAGUCGAACGGAAAGGCCCCUUCGGGGGUACUCGAGUGGCGAACGGGUGAGUAACACGUGGGUAAUCUGCCCUGCACUUCGGGAUAAGCCUGGGAAACUGGGUCUAAUACCGGAUAGGACCUAGAGGCGCAUGCCUUGUGGUGGAAAGCUUUUGCGGUGUGGGAUGGGCCCGCGGCCUAUCAGCUUGUUGGUGGGGUGACGGCCUACCAAGGCGACGACGGGUAGCCGGCCUGAGAGGGUGUCCGGCCACACUGGGACUGAGAUACGGCCCAGACUCCUACGGGAGGCAGCAGUGGGGAAUAUUGCACAAUGGGCGCAAGCCUGAUGCAGCGACGCCGCGUGGGGGAUGACGGCCUUCGGGUUGUAAACCUCUUUCACCAUCGACGAAGGUUCGGGUUUUCUCGGAUUGACGGUAGGUGGAGAAGAAGCACCGGCCAACUACGUGCCAGCAGCCGCGGUAAUACGUAGGGUGCGAGCGUUGUCCGGAAUUACUGGGCGUAAAGAGCUCGUAGGUGGUUUGUCGCGUUGUUCGUGAAAUCUCACGGCUUAACUGUGAGCGUGCGGGCGAUACGGGCAGACUAGAGUACUGCAGGGGAGACUGGAAUUCCUGGUGUAGCGGUGGAAUGCGCAGAUAUCAGGAGGAACACCGGUGGCGAAGGCGGGUCUCUGGGCAGUAACUGACGCUGAGGAGCGAAAGCGUGGGGAGCGAACAGGAUUAGAUACCCUGGUAGUCCACG
RNAcentral lists this ribosomal RNA (788 nucleotides) under Mycobacterium riyadhense. Its description in RNAcentral is "bacterial SSU rRNA". It matches the Rfam family "Bacterial small subunit ribosomal RNA", at positions 8 to 799 of the family's 1533-position model. Lineage: Bacteria; Bacillati; Actinomycetota; Actinomycetes; Mycobacteriales; Mycobacteriaceae. RNAcentral also lists the same sequence under 1 other name. The record is from RNAcentral.